UGGGGAUAGUGGCGACGGGUGAGUAACACGUGGGCAAUCUGCCCUUCACUCUGGGACAAGCCCUGGAAACGGGGUCUAAUACCGGAUACUGACCUGCCAAGGCAUCUUGGCGGGUCGAAAGCUCCGGCGGUGAAGGAUGAGCCCGCGGCCUAUCAGCUUGUUGGUGAGGUAAUGGCUCACCAAGGCGACGACGGGUAGCCGGCCUGAGAGGGCGACCGGCCACACUGGGACUGAGACACGGCCCAGACUCCUACGGGAGGCAGCAGUGGGGAAUAUUGCACAAUGGGCGAAAGCCUGAUGCAGCGACGCCGCGUGAGGGAUGACGGCCUUCGGGUUGUAAACCUCUUUCAGCAGGGAAGAAGCGAAAGUGACGGUACCUGCAGAAGAAGCGCCGGCUAACUACGUGCCAGCAGCCGCGGUAAUACGUAGGGCGCAAGCGUUGUCCGGAAUUAUUGGGCGUAAAGAGCUCGUAGGCGGCUUGUCACGUCGGUUGUGAAAGCCCGGGGCUUAACCCCGGGUCUGCAGUCGAUACGGGCAGGCUAGAGUUCGGUAGGGGAGAUCGGAAUUCCUGGUGUAGCGGUGAAAUGCGCAGAUAUCAGGAGGAACACCGGUGGCGAAGGCGGAUCUCUGGGCCGAUACUGACGCUGAGGAGCGAAAGCGUGGGGAGCGAACAGGAUUAGAUACCCUGGUAGUCCACGCCGUAAACGGUGGGCACUAGGUGUGGGCAACAUUCCACGUUGUCCGUGCCGCAGCUAACGCAUUAAGUGCCCCGCCCUGGGGGAGUACGGCGGCA
RNAcentral lists this ribosomal RNA (793 nucleotides) under Streptomyces sp. Its description in RNAcentral is "bacterial SSU rRNA". It matches the Rfam family "Bacterial small subunit ribosomal RNA", at positions 87 to 890 of the family's 1533-position model. Lineage: Bacteria; Bacillati; Actinomycetota; Actinomycetes; Kitasatosporales; Streptomycetaceae. The record is from RNAcentral.